UCUCGUUCAUCCCCCCUAAAUCCUUGACACACGAAUUGGUCUGCAAAUUUCUGGAGAUCUUCUAUUAUUAUUACGCUCACUAUUUGUAGAAAAUCCUACGAAAUUUCAGUCCUAAAACCUACAGAAAAACCAAAAACAUAGAGAAGAAUUCAAGUUUUCCCAUCUUCCUCCUUCUGUUACACAUCUUUGCUAUACAAACUUGAUUCGCUGCUUGAUUUUCUUGUUCCACUACUGAGAGCUGCUGCUGCUCCUUCUUCCUCGACUGAACUCCCUCACCACCGGUAAUGGCCGGAAACUGGCGGCGGAAUUUCGUUUCGUCAAUGGAGUUCACUUCAAGCUCGUGGAGAGCUCAUUUGAAUUUGUAGUUUCAAGUCUGUCGUUCCAUUUACUGUAACAUUCCUGUUGAGAUCGAGUCUCGUUAAAGCCCGUUCGUAGGUCGCUAAAUCUGUUCGUUGAGUCUGUUCAGUUCCGUUCGAGAUUCCGGGGAGGUUCCGGCGCUGCUACGUUUUCUGUCCGAAUCGUGUUUGAUCGGCCGAGUUUCAAAACAGUAUUGUAAAGGUGCACUUUUCAAAUGGCGCUGCUACAUUUUCUGUCCGAGUCCGUGUUUGAUCGACCGAGUGUCGAAACAGUAUUGUAAAGGUGCACUUUUCAAAUUCUAUCUUGUUUCAUCUCAUUGUUUAGAUUGAGGAAGGAAUUAAAUUGGUUUGAUGUUAUGUUGGUUUGAUUGUAUUUGCAUGCGUUAGUUCCCUUAAUCUGUUAAGUGUCUUAAUAUUGCUCAUUAAAAAUGAUUAAAUGCAUGUGAUUUGCUGGUAGUUAUAUGUCAAAUAUACUUUACUUAUUAGUAUAUUUUUACUUUCGUUCUGUUGUCAUUAUAAGCUCAUAAAAAUCUGGUUAGUUUUCUUUAGUUAAUUUUUUGUUUCUUUUGAAAUAAUAUGAUUGCUCAUUGUUAAGUCUUGAUGCGUUUUAGCUUUCUUCUAUCAUGUUGGUUCUCACGUUUUAAUAGCAGUUGUCAUGAGAAAGUGUUCUCAUCUUUUUGGUAUCACUCCUGUUUACACAAUAUGAUCUCAUAUGAAUUUUUGUGUUCUUUAAUUAGGAUUCAAAGUUGAAAUGCAUUUGAAUGGAGCAAUGCAGACUGUCACUACUAAUAUGUAGUCGAUUUUGGCUAAUUUGAAACUGAAGGAAUAUUUGAUCGACCAAUUGAUCUACAUGUCAGCCUUAACAAAUGCAUUACUAGUAGUUGGGGUACAAAAGAAGUGAUUUGAGGUGUGCUGUGCCAAAUAAAAUUUCAAAAAAAUGCACGGCCUUCGCUUAAUUAAGUUUGAUUUAAUCCGUAGAACUCGGGAGAACCGUUUAGUGAAUUUCACGGUCUUCCCCAAAUAAAAUGGCGCUAGACUCUUUAGGCGCGAUUUAAUCAAAUUACUUUCUUAAACUCGGGUGCGCAUUGAUGCGACCCAAAUUCAAGUCUCGACGAAGUCGAAAUGUGUGUUCGACCACAGGUGCCUUGAUGGUGACGGAGUUAGAAAUGCGUUUUCAUGAUGUCGUAAUUCUUAUAAAACAAAUAACGAUCGUAAAAUGGUUCAAAAAUGGAGAUGAGUCUCACAGAACAAGAAUAAAUGUGGGGCCCUCAAUAAUUGGUUGUUAAAAAUGAUUAGAAUUUGGAAGGAUCGUUUAGCAAAUUUCAACGGCCUUUCCCAAAAUAAUAUUACGCUAAAACCUUUUAGUGCGAUUUAAUUAAAUUACUUUCUUAAACUGGGAUGCGCAUUGAUGCGACCCAAAUCCAAAUCUCGACGAAGUCGAAAUGUCUUGACGACCACGGGUGCCUUGAUGACGACGUGGUAAGAGACGCAUUUUCAGGACGUCGCAAGUCUUUUAAAAUAAAUAAUUGUUAAAGAGGUAUAUGAAUAAAAGGCACAUAAGCUAGCAUAUUAAAAUCAGAUAAAAUCAAUUGCAACAGUUAAGCGAUCUUGCUAGAUCCACGAAAUUCGGGGAUGCCUAAUAUCUUCUUCCGGGUUAACAGAAUUUCUUAUCCAGAUUUCUGGUUUACAGACUGCAACAGAGUCAUAUUUUUCCUCGGUUCGGGAUUCAACCGGUGACUUGGGACACCAUUAAUUUUCCAAGUGGCGACUUUGAAUAAUUAAUAAACUAAAUCCCGUUCCGAUUGUCGUUUAAGUGGAAAAACCCUUUACGCCCCUCGCAGGGUGUAGGUGAAAAAGAAGGAGUGACAGCGAAGUACAUGCGACAGGUAAAAGUCUAGAGUCUGACAUGCUCGCAAGAAGAUAGAUAUAGCAAAUUAGUCAAGUAGAGCAAAUAAGUUAUUAAUUUGCU
Molecule: long non-coding RNA, 2325 nt
Filed under: Nicotiana benthamiana
Lineage: Eukaryota; Viridiplantae; Streptophyta; Magnoliopsida; Solanales; Solanaceae
Description: long non-coding RNA (NBEN_LNC038159)
Source: RNAcentral